UAAAAUACAUCUGUUAGCAAGGGCCGGGCAAGACCGGUGCCAGCCGCCGCGGUAACACCGGCGGCCCGAGUGGUGAUCGUGAUUAUUGGGUCUAAAGGGUCCGUAGCCGGUUUGGUCAGUCCUCCGGGAAAUCUGACGGCUCAACCGUUAGGCUUUCGGUGGAUACUGCCAGACUUGGAACCGGGAGAGGUAAGAGGUACUACAGGGGUAGGAGUGAAAUCUUGUAAUCCCUGUGAGACCACCUGUGGCGAAGGCGUCUUACCAGAACGGGUUCGACGGUGAGGGACGAAAGCUGGGGGCACGAACCGGAUUAGAUACCCGGGUAGUCCCAGCCGUAAACGAUGCUCGCUAGGUGUCAGGCAUGGCGCGACCGUGUCUGGUGCCGCAGGGAAGCCGUGAAGCGAGCCACCUGGGAAGUACGGCCGCAAGGCUGAAACUUAAAGGAAUUGGCGGGGGAGCACAACAACGGGUGGAGCCUGCGGUUUAAUUGGACUCAACGCCGGACAACUCACCGGGGACGACAGCAAUAUGUAGCC
Molecule: ribosomal RNA, 536 nt
Filed under: uncultured archaeon
Lineage: Archaea
Description: bacterial SSU rRNA
Rfam family: Archaeal small subunit ribosomal RNA
Source: RNAcentral